RNAcentral lists this long non-coding RNA (927 nucleotides) under Saimiri boliviensis boliviensis (Bolivian squirrel monkey). RNAcentral's name for it is "lncRNA (ENSSBOG00000036552.1)". The record is from RNAcentral. Lineage: Eukaryota; Metazoa; Chordata; Mammalia; Primates; Cebidae.
CGCGCACAGUCCCCUCCAUCCGUGCCUCUGCACGCCAUGUCCGCUCUGCCCGCCUCAUUUCGGCGCGGUUGGGCUGCGCCUGUGAGGGUGGGGUCGGAGCAAGCGAUGGAGCCAAUGAGGCGCGGCGGUCGCGUCGGGCUGACUGACAGCAGCCGCUGAGGUGGAGGCGGAAGGAAGCGGAAGGAGGCGGUGGCGGCAGAAGGGUAAGAUGGCGUCUCUCGCUCUGAGAGCGUAGGGGCUGUCGUGGGAGCGGGUGGCUGUGUGCGCGGCCAGGAUCCUGCUCUCCACCUCUGCCUACCACGUGGAGUGGGAGUAGGAGCGGGACCCCGAGCGCCCGGCCCUCUGCGACCUGGGGCCCUGGGUGAGGUGCUUCCCCGUCCUUGCCUCCAGAAUCCUUGCCCAGCAUCCAGCACCUCCUUCCUGUCCAGGAUCACCUUCUGGUGGAUUACAGGGUUGAUAAUCUGGGGCUACCACCAGCCCCUGGAGAGCAGUGGCCUCUGGUCCUUAAACAAGGAGGACACGGUGGAACAAGUCAUGCCUGUUUUGGUAAAGAACUGGAAGAAGAAAUGUACCAAGUCUAGGAAGGGUCAUGGGCAUCAGUGGUCCAGGGAAGGAAGCAAAGCAAAUGGAGAAUGGCAUGUUGUGACAGACAGUACGGGGAAGCAACUACAGAGACAGCUCAGCAGCUCCUCCUCCUAUAGCAGGGACAUCAGUAGGCACCGUAACAGCACCACAGAGCUGCAGAAAGCCAAAGCCAAGAAGGAGGAGACUUGGAAGCUGAUGGAGGCUGAAAUGGCACAGACAGGGCAGGUCCAGGUAAAGGCUCUGAUACUUUUUCAAGGACACCUGCUGAGACUUCCAGAUUCCACUUGUGCAGGGCUUCUUGGCAGUUUCCAAUCUUCAAAUCUUCAAUCUAUGACAGCAUAG